GCGCCCGUAGCUCAGUCCGGAUAGAGCACAGGACUCCGGAUCCUGGUGUCGAGGGUUCAAAUCCCCCCGGGCGCG
Molecule: transfer RNA, 75 nt
Filed under: bacterium
Lineage: Bacteria
Description: tRNA-Arg
Rfam family: tRNA
About the family: Transfer RNA (tRNA) molecules are approximately 80 nucleotides in length. Their secondary structure includes four short double-helical elements and three loops (D, anti-codon, and T loops).
Source: RNAcentral